Molecule: ribosomal RNA, 494 nt
Filed under: uncultured bacterium
Lineage: Bacteria
Description: partial 16S ribosomal RNA
Rfam family: Bacterial small subunit ribosomal RNA
Source: RNAcentral
GACGAACGCUGGCGGCGUGCUUAACACAUGCAAGUCGAACGGGAAGGCCUGCUUUCCCUUGUGGAUUGCGGGUACUCGAGUGGCGAACGGGUGAGUAACACGUGAGUGAUCUGCCCCCAACUUGGGUAUAAGCCUGGGAAACUGGGUCUAAUUCCCGAUAGGACUGCAGGGUGGUGCCUGUGGUGGAAAACGAUUUUCUAGUGGUUGGGGAUGAGCUCGCGGCCUAUCAGCUUGUUGGUGGGGUAAUGGCCUACCAAGGCGGCGACGGGUAGCCGGCCUGAGAGGGUGGACGGCCACAUUGGGACUGAGAUACGGCCCAGACUCCUACGGGAGGCAGCAGUGGGGAAUAUUGCACAAGGGGCGGAAGCCUGAUGCAGCGACGCCGCGUGGGGGAUGACGGCCUUCGGGUUGUAAACUCCUUUCGACCGCGAGGAAGCCACCUGGUUGGAAGGGUGGUGACGGUAGUGGUAGAAGAAGCACCGGCUAACUACGUG